AUACGUAGGGAGCGAGCGUUGUCCGGAAUUACUGGGCGUAAAGGGAGCGUAGGCGGGAUGGCAAGUCAGAUGUGAAAACUAUGGGCUCAACCCAUAGACUGCAUUUGAAACUGUUGUUCUUGAGUGAAGUAGAGGUAAGCGGAAUUCCUGGUGUAGCGGUGAAAUGCGUAGAUAUCAGGAGGAACAUCGGUGGCGAAGGCGGCUUACUGGGCUUUUACUGACGCUGAGGCUCGAAAGCGUGGGGAGCAAACAGGAUUAGAUACCCUGGUAGUCCACGCUGUAAACGAUGAUUACUAGGUGUGGGGGGACUGACCCCUUCCGUGCCGCAGUUAACACAAUAAGUAAUCCACCUGGGGAGUACGGCCGCAAGGUUGAAACUCAAAUGAAUUGACGGGG
This 396-nucleotide ribosomal RNA is filed under the name uncultured bacterium. RNAcentral describes it as "partial 16S ribosomal RNA". It matches the Rfam family "Bacterial small subunit ribosomal RNA", at positions 523 to 918 of the family's 1533-position model. The record is from RNAcentral.